GCGGCGUUUAGCUCAGUCGGUAGAGCAGCCGCCCCAUGUGCGGAAGCCCAGGGUUCAAAUCUGACAUGUGGCUCUUUCCCGCA
This is a non-coding RNA of Merluccius polli (Benguela hake), 83 nucleotides long. NCBI's taxonomy places the organism in Eukaryota, Metazoa, Chordata, Actinopteri, Gadiformes, Merlucciidae. The record is from the annotation of a GenBank genome assembly.